Oreochromis aureus is the source of this 354-nucleotide long non-coding RNA. NCBI's taxonomy places the organism in Eukaryota, Metazoa, Chordata, Actinopteri, Cichliformes, Cichlidae. The record is from Ensembl.
AACGUACCAAAGAGAACUACAACUCUGCUGUUGAUCGCCUCCAGAUUGACAAUACACCAGACGUCGAAGGAGUGAAGUUCAGACACUGAAUUUGAGCAGAAACCAUAAGGAUACGCAAAGGACCUGUGACUCUCAGGAAAUGCAUCAAAUGAGAGGGACAGAUGAAACAGUUUCAAGACAAUGGCAGGAAAAACAUGCUGAAGAUUGAAACAAACCUUGGCUGGAAAUCAAGGGCGUAGAUUUGGUUUUGGCAUUGGUGGGGACGGAUGAUUCAGCCACCGAACUCUGCCCUGUUUCUUUUUUUUCCUUUUUGUCUUUGCUUGUUGAUAAAAAAGGAGAAAUAUACUUGCCUAC